This 403-nucleotide ribosomal RNA is filed under the name uncultured bacterium. RNAcentral's name for it is "partial 16S ribosomal RNA". It matches the Rfam family "Bacterial small subunit ribosomal RNA", at positions 359 to 776 of the family's 1533-position model. The record is from RNAcentral.
GAAUUUUGCGCAAUGGGGGAAACCCUGACGCAGCAACGCCGCGUGGAGGAAGAAGGUUUUCGAAUCGUAAACUCAUGUCCGGAGGGACGAAAAAAAUGACGGUACCUCUGGAGGAAGCCCCGGCUAACUCCGUUCCCGCAGCCGCGGUAAUACGGGGGGGGCGAGCGUUGUUCGGAAUUACUGGGCGUAAAGGGCGCGUAGGCGGUUUCAGAAGUUUUGGGUGAAAGCCCCCGGCUCAACCGGGGAAGUGCCUGGAAAACCAUGGUACUGGAGUGCUGGAGAGGCAAGCGGAAUUUCUGGUGUAGCGGUGAAAUGCGUAGAUAUCAGAAGGAACAUCUGGGGCGAAGGCGGCUUGCUGGACAGACACUGACGCUGAGGCGCGAAAGCUAGGGGAGCAAACGGG